This 2561-nucleotide ribosomal RNA is filed under the name Escherichia coli. RNAcentral's name for it is "bacterial LSU rRNA". It matches the Rfam family "Bacterial large subunit ribosomal RNA", at positions 396 to 2925 of the family's 2925-position model. The record is from RNAcentral. Lineage: Bacteria; Pseudomonadati; Pseudomonadota; Gammaproteobacteria; Enterobacterales; Enterobacteriaceae.
AUUGUGAGCUCGAUGAGUAGGGCGGGACACGUGGUAUCCUGUCUGAAUAUGGGGGGACCAUCCUCCAAGGCUAAAUACUCCUGACUGACCGAUAGUGAACCAGUACCGUGAGGGAAAGGCGAAAAGAACCCCGGCGAGGGGAGUGAAAAAGAACCUGAAACCGUGUACGUACAAGCAGUGGGAGCCUCUUAAUGGGGUGACUGCGUACCUUUUGUAUAAUGGGUCAGCGACUUAUAUUCUGUAGCAAGGUUAACCGAAUAGGGGAGCCGAAGGGAAACCGAGUCUUAACUGGGCGUUAAGUUGCAGGGUAUAGACCCGAAACCCGGUGAUCUAGCCAUGGGCAGGUUGAAGGUUGGGUAACACUAACUGGAGGACCGAACCGACUAAUGUUGAAAAAUUAGCGGAUGACUUGUGGCUGGGGGUGAAAGGCCAAUCAAACCGGGAGAUAGCUGGUUCUCCCCGAAAGCUAUUUAGGUAGCGCCUCGUGAAUUCAUCUCCGGGGGUAGAGCACUGUUUCGGCAAGGGGGUCAUCCCGACUUACCAACCCGAUGCAAACUGCGAAUACCGGAGAAUGUUAUCACGGGAGACACACGGCGGGUGCUAACGUCCGUCGUGAAGAGGGAAACAACCCAGACCGCCAGCUAAGGUCCCAAAGUCAUGGUUAAGUGGGAAACGAUGUGGGAAGGCCCAGACAGCCAGGAUGUUGGCUUAGAAGCAGCCAUCAUUUAAAGAAAGCGUAAUAGCUCACUGGUCGAGUCGGCCUGCGCGGAAGAUGUAACGGGGCUAAACCAUGCACCGAAGCUGCGGCAGCGACACUAUGUGUUGUUGGGUAGGGGAGCGUUCUGUAAGCCUGUGAAGGUGGCCUGUGAGGGGUGCUGGAGGUAUCAGAAGUGCGAAUGCUGACAUAAGUAACGAUAAAGCGGGUGAAAAGCCCGCUCGCCGGAAGACCAAGGGUUCCUGUCCAACGUUAAUCGGGGCAGGGUGAGUCGACUCCUAAGGCGAGGCCGAAAGGCGUAGUCGAUGGGAAACAGGUUAAUAUUCCUGUACUUGGUGUUACUGCGAAGGGGGGACGGAGAAGGCUAUGUUGGCCGGGCGACGGUUGUCCCGGUUUAAGCGUGUAGGCUGGUUUUCCAGGCAAAUCCGGAAAACCAAGGCUGAGGCGUGAUGACGAGGCACUACGGUGCUGAAGUGACAAAUGCCCUGCUUCCAGGAAAAGCCUCUAAGCAUCAGGUAACAUCAAAUCGUACCCCAAACCGACACAGGUGGUCAGGUAGAGAAUACCAAGGCGCUUGAGAGAACUCGGGUGAAGGAACUAGGCAAAAUGGUGCCGUAACUUCGGGAGAAGGCACGCUGAUAUGUAGGUGAAGCGACUUGCUCGUGGAGCUGAAAUCAGUCGAAGAUACCAGCUGGCUGCAACUGUUUAUUAAAAACACAGCACUGUGCAAACACGAAAGUGGACGUAUACGGUGUGACGCCUGCCCGGUGCCGGAAGGUUAAUUGAUGGGGUUAGCGGUAACGCGAAGCUCUUGAUCGAAGCCCCGGUAAACGGCGGCCGUAACUAUAACGGUCCUAAGGUAGCGAAAUUCCUUGUCGGGUAAGUUCCGACCUGCACGAAUGGCGUAAUGAUGGCCAGGCUGUCUCCACCCGAGACUCAGUGAAAUUGAACUCGCUGUGAAGAUGCAGUGUACCCGCGGCAAGACGGAAAGACCCCGUGAACCUUUACUAUAGCUUGACACUGAACAUUGAGCCUUGAUGUGUAGGAUAGGUGGGAGGCUUUGAAGUGUGGACGCCAGUCUGCAUGGAGCCGACCUUGAAAUACCACCCUUUAAUGUUUGAUGUUCUAACGUUGGCCCGUAAUCCGGGUUGCGGACAGUGUCUGGUGGGUAGUUUGACUGGGGCGGUCUCCUCCUAAAGAGUAACGGAGGAGCACGAAGGUUGGCUAAUCCUGGUCGGACAUCAGGAGGUUAGUGCAAUGGCAUAAGCCAGCUUGACUGCGAGCGUGACGGCGCGAGCAGGUGCGAAAGCAGGUCAUAGUGAUCCGGUGGUUCUGAAUGGAAGGGCCAUCGCUCAACGGAUAAAAGGUACUCCGGGGAUAACAGGCUGAUACCGCCCAAGAGUUCAUAUCGACGGCGGUGUUUGGCACCUCGAUGUCGGCUCAUCACAUCCUGGGGCUGAAGUAGGUCCCAAGGGUAUGGCUGUUCGCCAUUUAAAGUGGUACGCGAGCUGGGUUUAGAACGUCGUGAGACAGUUCGGUCCCUAUCUGCCGUGGGCGCUGGAGAACUGAGGGGGGCUGCUCCUAGUACGAGAGGACCGGAGUGGACGCAUCACUGGUGUUCGGGUUGUCAUGCCAAUGGCACUGCCCGGUAGCUAAAUGCGGAAGAGAUAAGUGCUGAAAGCAUCUAAGCACGAAACUUGCCCCGAGAUGAGUUCUCCCUGAGACUUAGAGUCUCCUGAAGGAACGUUGAAGACGACGACGUUGAUAGGCCGGGUGUGUAAGCGCAGCGAUGCGUUGAGCUAACCGGUACUAAUGAACCGUGAGGCUUAACCUUACAACGCCGAAG